UACGUAGGUGGCGAGCGUUGUCCGGAUUUACUGGGCGUAAAGGGAGCGUAGGCGGACUUUUAAGUGAGAUGUGAAAUACUCGGGCUCAACUUGAGUGCUGCAUUUCAAACUGGAAGUCUAGAGUGCAGGAGAGGAGAAUGGAAUUCCUAGUGUAGCGGUGAAAUGCGUAGUGAUUAGGAAGAACACCAGUGGCGAAGGCGAUUCUCUGGACUGUAACUGACGCUGAGGCUCGAAAGCGUGGGGAGCAAACAGG
Molecule: ribosomal RNA, 253 nt
Filed under: uncultured bacterium
Lineage: Bacteria
Description: partial 16S ribosomal RNA
Rfam family: Bacterial small subunit ribosomal RNA
Source: RNAcentral